This 520-nucleotide ribosomal RNA is filed under the name uncultured Glomeromycotina. RNAcentral describes it as "SSU rRNA". It matches the Rfam family "Eukaryotic small subunit ribosomal RNA", at positions 569 to 1086 of the family's 1831-position model. The record is from RNAcentral. Lineage: Eukaryota; Fungi; Glomeromycota.
AGCAGCCGCGGUAAUUCCAGCUCCAAUAGCGUAUAUUAAAGUUGUUGCAGUUAAAAGCUCGUAGUUGAAUUUCGGGAUCAAAGAAUCGGUCAUGCUUUGGUAUGUACUGGUUUUAUUGGUUCUCACCUUCUAAAGAACCAUAAUGUCAUUUAUUUGAUGUUAUGGGGAAUUAGGACUGUUACCUUGAAAAGAUUAGAGUGUUAAAGCAAGCUUACGCUUGAAUACAUUAGCAUGGAAUAAUGAAAAUAGGACAUCCGAUUCUAUUUUGUUGGUUUCUAGGAUCGAUGUAAUGAUUAAUAGGGAUAGUUGGGGGCAUUAGUAUUCAAUUGUCAGAGGUGAAAAUUCUUGGAUUUAUUGAAGACUAACUACUGCGAAAAGCAAUUUGCCAAGGAUGUUUUCAUUAAUCAAGAACGAAAAGUUAGGGGAUCGAAGACGAUCAGAUACCGUCGUAGUCUUAACCAUAAAACUAUGCCGACUAGGGAUCGGACGAAUGUUAAAUUUUUCUUGACUCGUUCGGCUG